UAAGCAUAUCAAUAAGCGGAGGAAAAGAAACCAACAGGGAUUGCCCUAGUAACGGCGAGUGAAGCGGCAACAGCUCAAAUUUGAAAUCUGGCUCUCUUUGGGGGUCCGAGUUGUAAUUUGCAGAGGAUGCUUUGGCAUUGGCGGCGGUCUAAGUUCCUUGGAACAGGACAUCGCAGAGGGUGAGAAUCCCGUACGUGGGCGCCUGCCUUUGCCGUGUAAAGCUCCUUCGACGAGUCGAGUUGUUUGGGAAUGCAGCUCUAAAUGGGAGGUAAAUUUCUUCUAAAGCUAAAUACCGGCCAGAGACCGAUAGCGCACAAGUAGAGUGAUCGAAAGAUGAAAAGUACUUUGGAAAGAGAGUCAAAAAGCACGUGAAAUUGUUGAAAGGGAAGCGCUUGCAGCCAGACUUGCCCGCAGUUGCUCACCUAGGCUUUGGCCUGGGGCACUCUUCUGCGGGCAGGCCAGCAUCAGUUUGGGCGGUUGGAUAAAGGCCUCUGUCACGUAUCUUCCUUCGGGAUGACCUUAUAGGGGAGGCGUAAUGCAACCAGCCCGGACUGAGGUCCGCGCAUCUGCUAGGAUGCUGGCGUAAUGGCUGUAAGCGGCCCGUCUUGAAACACGGACCAAGGAGUCUAACAUCUAUGCGAGUGUUUGGGUGUCAAGCCCGGGCGCGCAAUGAAAGUGAACGGAGGUGGGAACCCUUUGGGUGCACCAUCGACCGAUCCUGAUGUCUUCGGAUGGAUUUGAGUAAGAGCAUAGCUGUUGGGACCCGAAAGAUGGUGAACUAUGCUUGAAUAGGGUGAAGCCAGAGGAAACUCUGGUGGAGGCUCGCAGCGGUUCUGACGUGCAAAUCGAUCGUCAAAUUUGGGCAUAGGGGCGAAAGACUAAUCGAA
This 887-nucleotide ribosomal RNA is filed under the name Pseudocamarosporium quercinum. RNAcentral describes it as "eukaryotic LSU rRNA". It matches the Rfam family "Eukaryotic large subunit ribosomal RNA", at positions 35 to 939 of the family's 3401-position model. The record is from RNAcentral. Lineage: Eukaryota; Fungi; Ascomycota; Dothideomycetes; Pleosporales; Didymosphaeriaceae.